AUAAAACCUGUAUACGUCAUGGUGGAUUCGAUCUUUAGCUCGGAGGCUAGCAUCUUAUUUAUCAGAAGGUGUGUAAAAACAGCUGUGUGAUUGGGGCUGGCUAAGGUUAGCUUCUGGUGGGCCCCGAGUACGCCAUCAUCAAAACAGAGACAAAGCAGGUUAGAUGCGCUCCGUUUGGGCAUAAACUCACAUUCCCUAAAUGAUGCUGCAUUCUCACCCCACCUUGAGUAUAAAAAGGUUACAUUCCAUCGACGAGAUCUGCUUUCGGGUUCAAAACCGAGGAGAGGCUCAUCAGAUUAAGCGAGCAGCGAUCACCCUGAACUGUUGCUUUUGAACACAAUCUGUGGGAGUAAAUACUUACCUGUGUUUGGAGGUGCAUCAUGUCUUCUUCAAUUUUCAUAUUUGAGUUGUUCAAUUCCUUGAUUUCAUGAUCCAGAUGGUGAAUGUCCUCUUUGUUUUCAACACCUGGAUUACACAGGCCUCAGGUAUUAUAGUUAAAAGGUUUUUGUUGUUGUUGCUGUUGUUGUUUUUUUUAUGUAAACAAUAAGAUUAAUUUUUUAAUUAACUCACCACUGCUGGUUUUCAGUUUGAUAGUCAUCAUCUCCUCCUCUGAGUGUUUUUUCUUGAUGCUCUGUGCAUUGAGCGGGCACCCUGACAAGCUACAGUGGUCAAGCACAAAUAACAGUUUAAGAUUGUAGGACACCACCAAAUCUACAUAGACUCGUAAAGGAUAGAGAUGCAAAGAUAAAUUGUUGUUUUAGCUUGAUCAGCCCUAACUGAGGUCAGUCAGAAAUGUGAAAAUUAAAUCUUUUUUUCCGAAUGGUGAGUAGGCCAAAUGCAAGCACUGUCAUUUUGUGCUAACAGCAGCCCUCCUGGGUGUCGAUACUUCUAUUGAGUAAGCAACUAUUAACGUUAGCUAUUAUCAUUGUCACUGAAUUUUUUUAUUACUUUUUUUUUAGAAAGGAUCUCACUGCAGGAAUGCAGAUCUAACAAGUACAGUUACAUCUAUGAUUCAGUUAAGUGCUUUGGAGUCUUCUGGACUAGAUGAAAUACAGACUCUUUACCAUCUCAAUGCUGUAUGAUAAGAAAUAUGUUGAUUACAAUAAACUAAAAUCUUUUAUAC
Molecule: long non-coding RNA, 1123 nt
Organism: Gambusia affinis (western mosquitofish)
Lineage: Eukaryota; Metazoa; Chordata; Actinopteri; Cyprinodontiformes; Poeciliidae
Exons: 3
Source: RefSeq, a predicted model, not a curated record